This 87-nucleotide transfer RNA is filed under the name Mycobacterium stomatepiae. RNAcentral describes it as "tRNA-Ala". Lineage: Bacteria; Bacillati; Actinomycetota; Actinomycetes; Mycobacteriales; Mycobacteriaceae. The record is from RNAcentral.
UUCACGGAUGGUGAUUUAGUCACGCUGCGCGAGUUCGCGGCUCGCGUCGAGAUAGCUCAUCGCCCCGCGCGAUCCGGGGUCGUAGUC